Erinaceus europaeus (western European hedgehog) is the source of this 1075-nucleotide long non-coding RNA. RefSeq lists it as uncharacterized. Lineage: Eukaryota; Metazoa; Chordata; Mammalia; Eulipotyphla; Erinaceidae. The transcript is spliced from 3 exons. The record is from RefSeq and is a predicted model, not a curated record.
AGAAUCGAGGGUUCUGUGACAGCUCCUCAUCUCCGCCCUGAUAUUAUUACUAUUAUUAUUAUUAUUAUUUCUUACAUACAUAGAUUAAAUUCCUAGGACUUUGUGGCAAACUCACCUUAGGGAAGCAGCUAAGCUUUAGGCUAUUUGAAUUCGAGGUGGUGCAGAGUAUAAAGUGCGCAGGUAAGAACGGGGCUCCCUCUGUCAGUCAUGUGCAAGGACUCUAUCUAGCCCUUUGAGCUUUCCCUGAAGAAUUUCAGCUUGUUAUCGGGGCCACCCAAUGACCGACGAAAGAUUCCCCCCUGCCUUUGCCUUUUCCCCAAGGCUGCUUUUAGCCAAAUCAAUCCAGCUUUUAGGCCCGAGCUGUGUCGCGGGAGAUGGAAAGGUGUACUCCGUGGAGGCGCCGAGAAGCUAGAGGCUCUCGGUUCCGAUAAAGACAUUCCACGCCGGCGCCGAGACACUCCCGGGUGUCCACGAAGAAUGCGGCCGAGCCCUGGGGUGCCAGGCCCUGCGGCCUCGAGCCGGGCCACUCAGGGCUGAAGCUACGCUUCCCAGACACACCGUCUCUCACUUUGCAGGAGAAAAGAAAGGAAAGGAAAGAACACUUCGCUGACCUCAGUGGGGCAUAGUUGCCAACCCGUUUUAAUGCUUUUCUGAUAGCGGGUAACGUGACAAAAUCAAGCCACCCCGACCUUCUGGGCCACUCCCUGUGGUUUUGCAAGUGUUGCUCCACUUCUGGGGGUGGUGAACAGACCGUUCAGAAGCGGUGAUCCCGGUUGGGUGGAACCGCCAAGCUAAGGUCACCAGGUUCCAGAUGCUACCAUAAUGCCAGCCUGACUCUCAUGGGCAGAGGACCCCACCAAUUUGUCUUGGAGACCCACCUCCCCAAACUCCUGCCCCACUAGGGAAAGAAAGAGACAGGCUGGGAGUAUGGAUUGACCUGCCAACACCCAUCUUCAGAGAAGAAGCAAUAACAGAAGCCAGACCUUCCACCUUCUUCACCUCAUAAUGAUCCUGGGUCCAUACUCCCGAAGGAAUAAAGUUUUCAAGGGAGGGGAUGGGAUAGGGAGUUCUGGUG